Molecule: long non-coding RNA, 1174 nt
Filed under: Mytilus galloprovincialis (Mediterranean mussel)
Lineage: Eukaryota; Metazoa; Mollusca; Bivalvia; Mytilida; Mytilidae
Source: RNAcentral
GUUGGAGCAGUUUUUGCGUAAGGAGCACACUCCUGUAUAUGGAGUCCGUAUAGUGUGAACAAGCACGAGAAUAAUGUAUCAAUUGUGAUAUGUAAACACCAUACGAAGGGGCAGAGGGUAUGUUACUGCGGAGAAAUGGGAAAUUGAUAAUUGGGAAGUUGAAAUCGUCCCGUUUAUCAUAGAUUUUCGUGUGAAGUCGUCAAUCUACGUCAAUAUUGAGGAAAAGAUCAAGGUAUGAAGCAGUCCUUCUAGUAUCAGUAGUAUCCUUAAUUUCAAGUUCACUGGGAUAUGAGAUGUAGGUAUUGGCUGAAAUAUGGGUUAUUCAAUGAUAGAACAUCAUCAAUAUAUCGGAAAGUAAAAUUAAAGAAUAUCGCAAGGUGCUUUUUCUUUUUGUCUUUUAGAAGGUUCUGAAUGAAUUCUGCUUCAUACGAGUACAAAAACAAAUCAGCCAGCAGGGUUGCACAAUAAGUACCCCUUGGAAUACCGACUGUCUGUUGAAAUAUAAAUCCUCCAAACUCAACAAAUAUAUUGUCGAUCAACAAGUCCAGCAUUUUGAUAAUGUCAUCUUCAGUAUAUUUUCUGGACGAUUCAGUGUGAUUCUUCACAAAAUAUGAAUUAUUGUAACCCAAAACAAGAAAUUUGUAUCUACGAUUCCCAUUUUUAUGGAAAAAGCUCUGUUUUAUGAGAUGGCGAAGUCGAUCUUUCAACUGAGCAUGGGGAAUAGUAGUAUAUAGCGUAGAAAAAUCAAACGUUUUUAUGUUGCUGCAAAAUUGCAAAGAUUGUGAUCGAAGGUUAAGCAGUAGAUCUUUCGAAUUUUUGAGAAUCCACAUCUGGUUAACACCACUGGUAGAAUAUAUCUCCUCACAAUAUUUUUGAAGCCCAUCUUUAACUGUAGAAAGCAUAGUAGUCAGUACUUUAGAAAGAUGUUUAGUUGAACAUUUUGAAGACCCUGCUAUGUAUCGUUCUUUAUAUGAAGUUUUGUGUAAUUUAGGUAUGUCGUGGAACCUUUAAAUUAAGACAAGCUAAUGUAAUUUAAGAAUUAAAUGCUUCUAUUUGUAAAUUCAUUAGAAUCUAAAAGUGUUGACUGAAGUACAUUUUUUUAUCAAGUGCUUUAUUCUAUACAUGUGCGCACGGUCAACGUGUUUUACAACCCUUAGGAAUUACAAAAAGAAGC